Molecule: long non-coding RNA, 1078 nt
Organism: Macrosteles quadrilineatus (aster leafhopper)
Lineage: Eukaryota; Metazoa; Arthropoda; Insecta; Hemiptera; Cicadellidae
Exons: 4
Source: RefSeq, a predicted model, not a curated record
GCCAUCUUGGAAUCUUGGAUUUUGAUAUUUGAUUAUUAUUCAUUCGAUUUUACUCGUGUCGGUCGUGUCAGUGUAUUAAGUUAAGUUGUUUUAUGUUCUAUUUGUGUCACUGCUAAUGUUUUUCAUCUUAUAAUUUACGAACGAUAAAAUCCUCAACUUUUCACUAACGAGGUUCCAGUGGCAAUGUUGAUGCAAUAGCACGGCUUCUCGUCAAGCUCAAUGAUCGUAUGAGAAACGUCGAAAAUAUCCAGAAAGAAAUUUUAGAGAGAUUGAGCCCAGAUAACUCAGAAAAAUCAAAUUUAUCGACACCAAUUGAUGUACCGUAACACUGCCUUGUGGUUCUGCACUGGAGGUUGAAUCUUUGGAUACAUGGCCAGCAAAUGAGGACAACGUUCUAACUUUGACAAAGCAUCUCAGUCUUAUUGGAGGCAAGAAACCGGCCAACGUAACCAGACAAAUUCUUGAAAGGCUCUUCACCAACGAAGUUGCUACCCAAAACAAUUGGACCGGGAAGAACAAAAAACUCCCAUUGAAAGAUCUGGCCAUUAUGAAAUUAUUAACAUGUUUCGUGAGGAAGAACAAAAAAAUGGAAGCAGUCUCCGAUGAUGAAGUGUAUUCAAUAGCAAGCCAGUGGUCUCGCUUCACCAAAGAUAGGGAAGGAGGGCGGGAAAGAAGAAGAUUGAAUGAUAGGCCUACCUAAGUUUGAAAUGGAUCUCAAACCCUCCCUACCAUUUAUUUUUAGUUACCGGCAUUUCUUAUACUGUUAGUAUUUUUUCUAGUGUUAUGAAUGUUAUGUUGUUGUGAAUAUUAUGAAUAUGUUAGACCAAAGGAUGUUUAAACAUGAGUUCUAAAAAAUGCCUUUUAUAUAAAUACCUCAUGUGUAUAGUUUUAAGGUUUUUUUAACUGUCAAAAUAUGUUAAAACAAUAAAAAUUUUAAAAUUUUCAUAAAUUCCCAAUAUUUGAGAAUCUUUCUGGCCUAGGUCCAAAGAAAUAUUCCCAUUUUAUAAGUUCCCUCCCACUGGGAAUAUUCCCGUCCCAUAUCACUAACUAUUUUGCAACAUGAACAUGUAUAUCUCAA